This 1997-nucleotide long non-coding RNA is filed under the name Musa acuminata (dwarf banana). RNAcentral's name for it is "long non-coding RNA (MACU_LNC007700)". The record is from RNAcentral. Lineage: Eukaryota; Viridiplantae; Streptophyta; Magnoliopsida; Zingiberales; Musaceae.
UUGUAAUGUUAUUGUCAUGUUGAUGCUAUUGCUAUAUUAAAGAAUAUGAAAAGUGGCUCUUAGUCCCAUUCUUGAUGAUUGUCUUUCUCGUACUGUGUAAACGAACUUCAAGUAGGAAUUGUGUACUCAACAGGAAGCGUCGCAGCCUAGGUUUGGUUGGGGCCACCUCCGAUGUCGAUCUGCAGUAAUUGUUUUCUUCUAAAGUGGUUUUCCGAGGUAGGUUCUACCUAGAGCGAUUUGCCAGCAUCUUUCUAGGAUAUAGUUUACCUGUAUAAUGCAAAUGUCUCUUUCUAGGAUAUAGUGUUUACCUGUAUAAUGCAAAUGUCCAACACUUAGGUGCUUUAUAAGAUCAUCCUAUAUGAAAGAUGUAUUAUAUGUGUGGAUAAUGAAUGACUUGCCUGGUAUGCAAUCUGAACGUCCACAGAGUCAAAAAGGUCAGACCUAAUAAUCGAAAUGAGCUUAGCACAAUACGAUAUGGGAUAGAAACCUAAUCCUAGAAAACCCAUCACUGAACAAUCAUAGGAAUAGAAGAAAUAGGUUAAGACCAAGUGAAAGAACUCUCUAUGAGUUGGGCUACAUAAAAGAUCCUAUUCGCAAAUGGAUGUAGCUUAACCAAAUUGACCCAUAUCAACAACAAACGCUGGCAUACCCUUAUACUUCAGAGGUUGUUCCAGAAUCAAAACCUACAGGGCCUUCUCUGGGAUGAACUCGAAAAACCAGAAAGAAACAAAAGGGAGGAGUGGGAGCGCAAUCUCAUGACCUCGAGACAGUUUCGCGCCACAGAGCGGACCCUUUCAGAGUUCUCACACAGGGAAUGAUCAAAGAGAGACCACCUCGUGAGGACUAGAAAGAAUCCGGUGCACGAGCCAGAGGACGUGAGCCGCAGAUAUACUAACUUCUAGUGGAACGGGUUUGGUGGGGGAUCCUAAAUUCCUUGCUCGUAAACAGGCCUCCAUUGCAAAUGAGAACGAACUCUCGGGGUUCUGGAUGGAAUUUCCAAAUCCGAUCAAACGACUAUUUAUACCCGACGGAGGGUUCAUGUAGGUAGGUGUAGGCCAGACCGCUUGGUUCGAGGACCCGUUGGUCAAAGGGGAUUCCGGGAAGGAGCCGUAUGACGCGAUAGUUUCUACUCUUUAACUCUGGGCUGGGAGCGAGACCCUAAAAGAAGUUCAAUAAGCUAUGAGAAAAUAAGUUCAAUAAGCUAUUAAUAGUUUGAAAGGAAAGAUGGAAAGAGGGGAAUAGCUAGUUUGAAAGGAAAGAUGGAAAGAGGGGAAUAGCACGUAAUCAAAGGGAUAAUCGGAUAUAUGCUUCGUAAUCAAAGGGAUAAUCGGAUAUAUGCUUCGUAAUCAAAGGGAUAAUCGGAUAUAUGCUUCCCGAAGUUUCGCGCAUUUCUUAUGGUGGUAAAGUGAGACCACAUAAGAUAAGGAGCUCUUCCUCAUUCAGUCAGAUAUGGUGGGUUUUACCCUUUCUCUUUUUGUUUGAAUCUUCAUAUAGAAUUAAGGAACAACCCUUCCUUCCUCCCUGAAUUCAUUGAGUUGGAGGAAAGGAAUACACUUGAGGCCCGCCCGUUAUGCAUUGCAUGAAAGAACUGUAACUCACAUCGGUGAGGGCUGACUGCCCAGAUCCUGGUAGUACUGCUUUAGCAAAGCGAACGGUAGGUCGGACCAUUCUUCUGGAGCAAACCUUGCCUUUACAUAGCGGUGCCCUUUCGUUGUAGGCAAGACCCGACUUGCCCAUCAUCCAAUCCAUAACAAAUAGGGUGAAAGCCUUACUACUCAACACUCGAUUGAAAACCACCAUUACCACUAGAUUGAAAACCACCAUUACGUCGAAUCGGAAAAGGUUUGGAAUAGGGCUGAAGGUCAGUUCGGUGGUAAGAUCAGAAGGGUAGAUUCACGGGUGACUUCGGAGGGUGGGGAAGGAAAAGCUGGUGCUAAGCCGCCCUCACGUAAUGCCGCGCACAAGGAAGGGUUACAAGUUGGAUAUUAAUUCCUCCC